This 465-nucleotide ribosomal RNA is filed under the name uncultured bacterium. RNAcentral describes it as "partial 16S ribosomal RNA". It matches the Rfam family "Bacterial small subunit ribosomal RNA", at positions 28 to 507 of the family's 1533-position model. The record is from RNAcentral.
GAUGAACGCUGGCGGCGUGCUUAAUACAUGCAAGUCGAACGGAAAGGCUCCUACUUGCCUCCUUACACGUUUGGCGCACGCGUGAGUAACACGUGGGUGAUCCGCCCUGCACUUCCGGAUAAGCCUGCGAAACUGGGUCUCUUAUCCGAUAUGACGAUGGUUUCGAUACCGUUGUGGAAUGUUUGUCGGUUUUGGUUGCGCUCGCGGCCUAUCAGCUUGUUCGUUGGGUAAUGGCCGACCAAACCGUCGACGGGUAGCCGGCCUGAGAGGGUGUACGGCCACAUUGGGACUGAGAUACGGCGCAGACGCCUACGGGAGGCAGCAGUGGGGAAUAUGGCACAAUGGGCGCAAGCCUGAUGCAGCGACGCCGCGUGGGGGAUGACGGCCUUCGGGUUGUAAACACCUUUCGAUAGGGACGAAGCGCAAGUGACGGUACCUGGAGAAGAAGCACCGGCUAACUACGUG